CACCUCACCACCGGCACAGACAAGGCCGACGGCCCCGGCCACUUCGCUAAGGGUUGUCCAGCGUAGGUCUUGGCUCUGGCGACCUUGAUUUUCGCAAGAUUCUCUCUAUCUUUCUCGAAGGUGACAUUGACCAUCGAAGUUGUGCCUCCGCCACUGCCAUAGACAAGACCGACAAGCUCUGGCGACUCCUUUGAGGGCCCUCUAAUAUCAGUCCCCUUCCGACGAUCGGGAUUUUUGUUUUCAUUUCAUUAGCGCAGACCUGGUGUUUCUGAUCUACUUUUUAUUUUUGUAUAAUCCUUGAGAUGACGAAGCGAGAUUAUCUUGGGAGAUGAUCUUGUGACUUGGGAUCGGGAGAUGACGACGCACGACGUGGAUUUGUCUCAGAUGGAAGGUGAGAGGUGGUUGAAGGUGGAAUAAAAAACUUUUUUUUUUACGAAAGAAGGAGGAAAUAGCUUUCGCAUCUUUGAACUUAGUAAAAGGAUGGCUAAGUUCAUGUGUUUAGGUGGGACAGCAGCUUCAUGGGUGGCUAAGGGGAUAGAGGAUUGUUUAGAACUCAACUGUCAUGAAGGAUUCUUCAGAGAGCUAAGGAUGGGUAAUGGAGAUCUCAUCAUUCAACAUCAUAUUAACACAAGGGCAGCUUUUAGCAACUCUCAUAAUUCUAGAAUGGAAGGAGGAAAGGAUUUUUGCAGUCCAUUCGAAGCGUUACUGGGUCCAAAGCCGCUAUUCUGAAGCAUGCAAACAGAGGGAGUUUGUUGAUGGAAAGAUAGUGGGAAGGCCUUCCUCGGUCAAAGGUGCUUCGUACGCUUUGGUGUUAAGGUCACUAGUGGAUAGUCCAUCUGAAAAUAGCUCCUCAACAAAAGGAAAGAGUAAGACACUUGUACGAGACAAAGGCUAUCAGGUGACAUUGGGAGAAGUGGAGGGGUCUUGUGGACUGUCAAAGCUCAAUUGACGGGAGUUAUGGAGUAUGCGAGUGAUCUCAUGAUUAAAGUGGAUAAGGGGCUGGAUCUAGUUGUGGGUUUGGGUGGUGGGUCGAAAAGGGACAAAGGGGGCGGGGGUAGAUCUUACGGGUUUGAAGGCCUCAAGUGCGCUGGCAAAGAGCGUUUCGACGCUGUCACAGAUAGGGUCGUUGGAUGCCAGCAUCACUGUUCACGUCGGUGUCACUCAGGACAUCGGUAGCUUGUGGUCUAACUGCCUUCAAUCACCAGUUGCUAAUGGGGUUGGUACUUUUUUCUAGGGUUCACUUUCAGUUGAAGAUGGGGGUCCUUCCAGGGUCUUGAGUACUUUGGAAGAAAC
Juglans microcarpa x Juglans regia is the source of this 1293-nucleotide long non-coding RNA. RefSeq lists it as uncharacterized. The transcript is spliced from 2 exons. The record is from RefSeq and is a predicted model, not a curated record. NCBI's taxonomy places the organism in Eukaryota, Viridiplantae, Streptophyta, Magnoliopsida, Fagales, Juglandaceae.